Molecule: ribosomal RNA, 468 nt
Filed under: uncultured bacterium
Lineage: Bacteria
Description: partial 16S ribosomal RNA
Rfam family: Bacterial small subunit ribosomal RNA
Source: RNAcentral
GACGAACGCUGGCGGCGUGCUUAACACAUGCCAGUCGAACGGAAAGGCCCUGCUUUUGUGGGGUGCUCGAGUGGCGAACGGGUGAGUAACACGUGAGUAACCUGCCCUUGACUUUGGGAUAACUUCAGGAAACUGGGGCUAAUACCGGAUAGGAGCUCCUGCUGCAUGGUGGGGGUUGGAAAGUUUCGGCGGUUGGGGAUGGACUCGCGGCUUAUCAGCUUGUUGGUGGGGUAGUGGCUUACCAAGGCUUUGACGGGUAGCCGGCCUGAGAGGGUGACCGGCCACAUGAGGACUGAGACACCGGCCAGACUCCGUGUGGAGGCAGCAGUGGGGAAUAUUGCACAAUGGGCGGAAGCCUGAUGCAGCAACGCCGCGUGCGGGAUGACGGCCUUCGGGUUGUAAACCGCUUUCGCCUGUGACGAAGCGUGAGUGACGGUAAUGGGUAAAGAAGCACCGGCUAACUACGUG